CUAACCGCAAGGGAGGAGCAGCCUAAGGUGAAGCCAGCGACUAGGGUGAAGUCGUAACAAGGUAGCCGUAUCGGAAGGUGCGGCUGGAUCACCUCCUUU
This 99-nucleotide ribosomal RNA is filed under the name Clostridiales bacterium. RNAcentral's name for it is "partial 16S ribosomal RNA". It matches the Rfam family "Bacterial small subunit ribosomal RNA", at positions 1435 to 1533 of the family's 1533-position model. The record is from RNAcentral. Lineage: Bacteria; Bacillati; Bacillota; Clostridia; Eubacteriales.